Molecule: long non-coding RNA, 3366 nt
Filed under: Salmo salar (Atlantic salmon)
Lineage: Eukaryota; Metazoa; Chordata; Actinopteri; Salmoniformes; Salmonidae
Description: lncRNA (ENSSSAG00000083954.1)
Rfam family: let-7 microRNA precursor family (bases 2847-2932)
Source: RNAcentral
UGAUGAUUGGCGAAUGUGUGUGUGUGUGCUACAGGAGAUCAUUGGUCAUACUAUUGAUCGUCUCUCUCGCUCGCUCUCUCACACACACACAUCGUGUCGAACCUGUGAUAAAAGUGCGUCUUCCUUACUUCGGUACGUCCCUAUAUCAUCUUCUCUCUCUCUCUCUCUCUCUCUCUCUCUCUCUCUCUCUCUCUCUCUCUCUCUGCUGCUGCUGCUGCUAUUUCUAAAGCUAGAUCCUCCCCUUCAGAGCGACUGUGCCAGGAGGAGGAGGGCUUUUACUACUCUGGGGAGUUUAACCCUCUGCCACUGUCUCUCGGCGCUGCAAGCAAUUCCAGCUACUAAAUACCCUGCAACAAGUAGCUUUUUGGCCUCCGCCGUUUGACUUUCGAUUUGGUAGCCCUUUUGGAAAUGUUCGUGGACUUUUUUCCUGCAGCAGAUUCCAUCAUUUUGUAUAUUAUUUGGAGUUAUUGCGCAUUGCGUUUGUAUAAGUGUUUCGGUAGCUACUGUUUUUAACGUACUCCACGGCAUGUUGCAUUGGCUCUUCGCCAUGUCGUCCCUCUUUAGAAGAUCAGGAUGUGUUUCUUCAUGCUGAAGAUGAAGAUGGCUGUGUUUUCGCUGUCCCGCUCUCUUUCUCUCUCCCUCUCUUCCUCUUUCCUUCCUGUGUUAGGAGAGUAGGAGGGCGGUGCAGCAGUGGCAGAGGGUUUUUUGGGACAGGUGCCAAUUUCAAACAAAAGACACAACAACGCAAUGAGAUAACUACACUAUGUUCUGGAUCUACUACCCUGGUGGAUAAUAAGGCCUGUCUGGAUUUCAACGCCCUGGAUUUUGCAUCCAUAGUUGGUGUGUGAUGCAACUGUCUACCCAUGUCCGAUUUGAGGCCGGUGGUGGCUGGCCCGCUCCAGGAGUCUGAGGUGCGGGAGGUUCCUCCGCCCCUUCUGGACAUCGAGGGGGCCCUGGGGUACUCCGUUCGCUCCAUACUGGAUUCGAGAUGUCGGGCGAGGGGCCUUCAGUAUCUUGUGGGAGGGGUAUGGUCUGGAGGAAAGGUGCUGGGUUCCGGUCGAGGAAGUGUUGGACCCUUUAAUGCUGCAGGAGUUCCCCCGUGUUCGUCCAGAUCACCCUAUGCCUCGCGUCAAGGGGGGGGGGGGGGGGUACUGUCACGACGAAGUCGGUCCCUCUCCUUGUUCGGGUGACGUUCGGCGGUUGACGUCACCGGUCUUCUAACCAUCGCCGAUCCACCUUUCAUUUUCCAUUUGUUUUGUCUUGUCUUCCCACACACCUGGUUUCAAUUCAAUCAAUUACAUGUUGUGUAUUUAACCCUCUGUUCCCCCCAUGUCCUUGUCCGGUAUUGUUUAUUGUAAGUGCUUGUGCACGUUAUGCCUGGUGUGUGUCGGGUUUUGUACCCAUUUAUUGAUUGUUCUGUUUUCCUGUGGGUUUUAUUAUUAAACUGCGCCAUUGGAAACACAGUUUUUGCUUUCCUGUGUCUGACUUCUGUGCCGCCAGUACGCACCCCUUACAGUUUCUGGUUUGUUUAAAGAUAUUAUGUUGACUUCUAUUCAUCUAUAUAGAUUUGUUUUGUGUUUUACUGCUAUAGUGAAUUAAUAAAAGUUUUGCCCUGUUAUUUCAGUCAUAAUACAUGAAUGACUCUUUAUGAUUAGAAAUAACUUCAGUUAUGAAGGUCAUAGAUAAGAAAAUGAGGACAUAAAUCAGGAUACACCCAGAGGAAAGACAGAAUAACAGACAUAUUUUUAUUCAAGUUUUAAAUAGACAUUUAUAGUAAUAACCCACACGAUCUGCGAACUUCAGUAUGUGGGCCAAAAUAGCAAUGCUCAAUACAGAAAGUUUUUUUCUGGACAGAGAGACGAGAGAGAGCGAGCGUUUACUUUGUGCAGCCACUCGGGCCAGUAACUGUCUUGAUAUACUGUAGUCCAUUUUGGUACAGUAUUCUGAGGCCUGAUCACUUCAGCAUAUGGGAAUUCAGUCCUAAUUAUAUAUUUGAGCAGAGGUUUGGGGAAAGCAUAGGCCUGGGAGUGCUCCUGUACCAGUCAACAUAAAGUGAACUUGCACUCGGCAGACAAACUAUAUACAAACUAUAUGCCAGUUUUUACUAAAUCAAACAGCAAUACAUUUUCUCUGUAUUUGACCAAUGUUGCUCUUAUUUAAUUGAAUUUCUGUGCCAAGUUCUAUUUGCUACAUUGCUGAAAGCAUUUGUUUCUGUGUUUGUGGUUUGCUUGACAAGUGUUAUUGUACUUUCAGACUUUUAGAAGACUGUAAGUCGUUUAAAGUUGUUGUUUUAUUUUUGCAGGUUGAUUGGAUCUGGGGGUGACGUGUAGAGACGGAACAGACCCUGGAUUAAAGAUGGUGUGAACCUGAGAUGGGUCAAGGAGGAACAGGAGGCAAAAUAUGAUGUUGACACAUUGCACGCAUUGCACGUGUGUGCGUGCUAGUCACCAUUUCAUGUCUGAGCUCUCACAUGAGGAUCUUUUUAAGGACCACUCGAACUGUUCGUUAGAGACAAACCAACUGUCCUUUGGUGUGAGGUAGUAGGUUGUAUAGUUUUAGGGUCACUCCCAAGCUGUCAGAUGACUAUACAACAUACUGUCUUUCCUGAAGUGGCUGUAAUAUCAUCACAGACUCUUCACAUGAAGAACCCUUGGCAAAAGCUGCAAUGAAAAUGUACCUUUCGUGCCUACAUUAUUACCAUUCUUACAAUAUUAUUACAAUAUUAUUACAUCAUUUUAUAUUUGAACAGGAAAUUACUUCAGGUUAAUUCACAUUUUCUGGUUGGACUCCAUCUCUAACCAACUGGUCAACCGGACUGUGCCCGGUCGGUGGUUCAUGGUGUUCGCACAGGUUGAGGUAGUAGGUUGUGUGGUUUCAGGGUUGUGAUUUUGCCCCAUCAGGAGUUAACUGUACAACCUACUGCCUUCCCUGAAGGGCAGCAACACAACAUUACAAGCAUGGCCACAAUGGAGCUCACCGUCUACAGUGCUGUUUUUAAGUGGAGCGCAAAGUAAAGAAGGUAAGCUAUCUCAAAUCUUUGCCUUGGUACUACUGCACAACAUCUGCUAAAUAGAGUAUUUUAUGUCUUGGAAUUUGGAAAUAGGCCUAUUGUUUAUCAACCUUCAAUUUUGUAGUAAUGCAUACUGUACUAAAAGUCAUAAUAAAAAGUGAGUAGUCUUAGUCACAUAUGUGUCGACUCCUUUUGGUUGUCAAGAAUUGAAAGUAUAUAGUUAUGCAUGUUCCUAGAAAUACUGUAUGUGGCCAUUUUUUAUUCUGGACAUGAAGACUGAAACAUCUGCUGGGAGGAUGGAUCAAUCAAUACAUAAAGAAGAAUACAUGUCAGGAUUAAAAUAAUGUGUAACGAGA